UACGUAGGUGGCAAGCGUUGUCCGGAAUUAUUGGGCGUAAAGCGCGCGCAGGCGGUCCUUUAAGUCUGAUGUGAAAGCCCACGGCUCAACCGUGGAGGGUCAUUGGAAACUGGGGGACUUGAGUACAGAAGAGGAAAGCGGAAUUCCACGUGUAGCGGUGAAAUGCGUAGAGAUGUGGAGGAACACCAGUGGCGAAGGCGGCUUUCUGGGCCUUACCUGACGCUCAGGUGCGAAAGCUAGGGGAGCGAACAGG
Molecule: ribosomal RNA, 253 nt
Filed under: uncultured bacterium
Lineage: Bacteria
Description: partial 16S ribosomal RNA
Rfam family: Bacterial small subunit ribosomal RNA
Source: RNAcentral